RNAcentral lists this ribosomal RNA (468 nucleotides) under uncultured bacterium. RNAcentral's name for it is "partial 16S ribosomal RNA". It matches the Rfam family "Bacterial small subunit ribosomal RNA", at positions 28 to 507 of the family's 1533-position model. The record is from RNAcentral.
GACGAACGCUGGCGGCGUGCUUAACACAUGCAAGUCGAACGGAAAGGCCCUGCUUUUGUGGGGUGCUCGAGUGGCGAACGGGUGAGUAACACGUGAGUAACCUGCCCUUGACUUUGGGAUAACUUCAGGAAACUGGGGCUAAUACCGGAUAGGAGCUCCUGCUGCAUGGUGGGGGUUGGAAAGUUUCGGCGGUUGGGGAUGGACUCGCGGCUUAUCAGCUUGUUGGUGGGGUAGUGGCUUACCAAGGCUUUGACGGGUAGCCGGCCUGAGAGGGUGACCGGCCAAAUUGGGAAUGAGAUACCGGCCCGAACCCUAAGGGAGGGAGGAGUGGGGAAUAUUGCACAAUGGGCGGAAGCCUGAUGGAGGAACGCCGCGUGCGGGAUGACGGCCUUCGGGUUGUAAAACGCUUUUGCCUGUGACGAAGGGUGAGUGAAGGGAAUGGGUAAAGAAGCCACGGCUAAAUACGUG